CAGCAGCCGCGGGAAUACGUAGGUCCCGAGCGUUGUCCGGAUUUAUUGGGCGUAAAGCGAGCGCAGGCGGUUAGAUAAGUCUGAAGUUAAAGGCUGUGGCUUAACCAUAGUACGCUUUGGAAACUGUUUAACUUGAGUGCAAGAGGGGAGAGUGGAAUUCCAUGUGUAGCGGUGAAAUGCGUAGAUAUAUGGAGGAACACCGGUGGCGAAAGCGGCUCUCUGGCUUGUAACUGACGCUGAGGAGCGAAAGCGUGGGGAGCGAACAGGAUUAGAUACCCCCGUAGUCCCUGUCUCUUAUACA
RNAcentral lists this ribosomal RNA (301 nucleotides) under uncultured bacterium. RNAcentral's name for it is "partial 16S ribosomal RNA". It matches the Rfam family "Bacterial small subunit ribosomal RNA", at positions 509 to 808 of the family's 1533-position model. The record is from RNAcentral.